UAGAGUUUGAUCAUGGCUCAGAUAGAACGCUGGCGGCAGGCCUAACACAUGCAAGUCGAGCGCGAAAGUCUUCGGAUGAGUAGAGCGGCGGACGGGUGAGUAACGCGUAGGAAUCUACCUGGUAGUGGGGGAUAACUCGGGGAAACUCGAGCUAAUACCGCAUACGCCCUGAGGGGGAAAGCGGGGGAUCGCGAGACCUCGUGCUAUCAGAUGAGCCUGCGUAGGAUUAGCUAGUUGGUGGGGUAAAGGCCUACCAAGGCGACGAUCCUUAGCUGGUCUGAGAGGAUGAUCAGCCACACUGGGACUGAGACACGGCCCAGACUCCUACGGGAGGCAGCAGUGGGGAAUAUUGGACAAUGGGGGCAACCCUGAUCCAGCCAUGCCGCGUGUGUGAAGAAGGCCUUCGGGUUGUAAAGCACUUUCAGCGGGGAGGAAGGCAUCAUGGCUAAUAUCCAUGGUGAUUGACGUUACCCGCAGAAGAAGCACCGGCUAACUCCGUGCCAGCAGCCGCGGUAAUACGGAGGGUGCAAGCGUUUAUCGGAAUUACUGGGCGUAAAGCGCGCGUAGGCGGCUUGUUAAGUCGGAUGUGAAAUCCCCGGGCUCAACCUGGGAAUUGCAUCCGAUACUGACGAGCUGGAGUGCGAUAGAGGGGGGUAGAAUUCCUAGUGUAGCGGUGAAAUGCGUAGAUAUUAGGAGGAAUACCGGUGGCGAAGGCGGCCCCCUGGAUCGACACUGACGCUGAGGUGCGAAAGCGUGGGUAGCAAACAGGAUUAGAUACCCUGGUAGUCCACGCCGUAAACGAUGUCUACUAGCCGUUGGAGAUCUAGAAUCUUUAGUGGCGAAGCUAACGCGAUAAGUAGACCGCCUGGGGAGUACGGCCGCAAGGUUAAAACUCAAAUGAAUUGACGGGGGCCCGCACAAGCGGUGGAGCAUGUGGUUUAAUUCGACGCAACGCGAAGAACCUUACCUGGUCUUGACAUCCACGGAACCCUGAAGAGAUUUGGGGGUGCCGCAAGGAACCGUGAGACAGGUGCUGCAUGGCUGUCGUCAGCUCGUGUCGUGAGAUGUUGGGUUAAGUCCCGCAACGAGCGCAACCCUUGUCCUUAGUUGCCAUCAUUCAGUUGGGAACUCUAAGGAGACCGCCGGUGACAAACCGGAGGAAGGUGGGGAUGACGUCAAGUCAUCAUGGCCUUUAUGACCAGGGCUACACACGUGCUACAAUGGCAAGUACAGAGGGAAGCCAACCCGCGAGGGGGAGCUAAUCCCAGAAAGCUUGUCUUAGUCCGGAUUGGAGUCUGCAACUCGACUCCAUGAAGUUGGAAUCGCUAGUAAUCGCAGAUCAGCAUUGCUGCGGUGAAUACGUUCCCGGGUCUUGUACACACCGCCCGUCACACCAUGGGAGUUGAUUGCACCAGAAGCAGGUAGCCUGACCGCAAGGAGGGCGCUUACCACGGUGUGGUUAAUGACUGGGGUGAAGUCGUAACAAGGUAACCGUAA
Molecule: ribosomal RNA, 1497 nt
Filed under: uncultured Haliea sp.
Lineage: Bacteria; Pseudomonadati; Pseudomonadota; Gammaproteobacteria; Cellvibrionales; Halieaceae
Description: bacterial SSU rRNA
Rfam family: Bacterial small subunit ribosomal RNA
Source: RNAcentral